GAAACACACGGCACGUCAUGUCAAGUCAUAUUGUGAUCAUGGAGCACAAAACCAGUCAUAAGAGUAAAUUGUUUGUUAGGAUCGGACAAUAUUUGGCUGAGAUACAACUAUUUGAAAAUAGCUAAAAAACAUCUAAAUAUUGAGAAUAUAUAUUGUAUGGUUUGUUGGACAAUAUUUGGCUGCGAUACAACUAUUUGAAAAUCUGGAAUCUGAGGGUGCAAAAAAAUCUAAAUAUUGAGAAAAUCACCUUUAAAGUUGUUCAAAUGAAGUUCUUAGCAAUGCAUAUUACUAAUCAAAAAUGAAGUUGAUAUAUUUACGGUAGGACAUUUACUAAAUAUCUUCAUGGAACAUGAUCUGUACUUAAUAUCCUAAUGAUUUUUGGCAUAAAAGAAAAAUGUAUAAUUUUGACCCAUACAAUGUAUUGUUGGCUAUUGCUACAAAUAUACCUGUGCUGCUUAUGACUGCUUCUGUGCUGCAGGGACACAAUUUAUUUGUAUAGCGCUCAUCACAACAGAGAUUACUCACAAAUUGUAGUCUGUUACUGAUUCCAAAUGACACGACAGAAAUUGUAGUUAAUAACGUAAUCAUUCGUAAACAUUACACAUUUCAGGUGAUAAAAUAACCUCUCCCUGUCUAGCCAGUAUUUACUCUGAACAAUGCCUGAAACUGUAUUGCAAGCACUUCCUGUGUCUAUUUGCCUCUUUAUCAUGAAUCGCUUAUUGUAUUCCUCAAUUGUAAGUCUCUGUGGAUAAAAGCGUCUGCUAAAUGAAUAAAUGUAAAUGUAAAAUCAUACUACUUUUUGAUUACUUUUAGAUUAAUUUUGACCUAAUUUGUUUAUCACAUUAAUUUAAAUAACACAAUCUUGUACCUAGGGCCCUAUGAUUUCUGUGAUGCAGAAAAUGCAGACAGAAUCACGGAAUCCAAUCAUAAAAACGGAAUUACUGUAUCACGCGGAAUGUCACAGAAUUUGCCAAAUUUGGAUGAAUACAUCAAAAGUAGGUCAGUACACGUAAAUCAAAACACAGUAUGGACUGCUGUAUGUGAAUAUUAAGCCGCAAAAAUACCAUUGAAAUAUGAAUCCUGCGUGUUUUGCGUGUCUUUGUGAAUGAAGCGUGCGGUUGCGUUUACUACACAUACUGAAGCGUUUUCUGCCUCUGCCGUCUCAAUAUAUGAACACAUGAACAUGAUCUCUAGAGCUGCUCUGAGAGUCACUUCACGAGCAUUUCACCGUUUCUUUUGAGUAAAAAUAUCUUUAUAUCAUAAACAAACAGAAAUCUAAAGGUCUUCAUAGCAACCUGUCAAAACAAAAGUUUGGUUUAACUUGAAGAAACCGUGACAGAAAUAUUACUUAAUGUAAUGAUAGUACUACUACUGCUAUUUCUGGAUUUUAUUAUUAUUUUUUUAAAUAAAAUCAAUCAAUUAGAGAUGCUUUUAAUUAUUAAUAUUGAAUGAAACCAUUAAAAUGGAAUCCAGAAAAUUAAUGGAAAACAGAAUUUGAUAAACAAAACAUAUUUCAUAGGGCCGUAAAAAUAAAUUUUUUGAUGAACUUAAAAAAAAAGGCUGUUUAAUAUGGUAAGUUUCAUGAUUUAAAUUAAUUAGACGUGCUUUUUGAUGAAUAAAAUUUAAUUUAACCGUUAAAACAGAGUCUAGAAAAACAAAACCGAAAAAAAAAAAAAAAUGGAAUCCAGACAAAAUUAUGGAAAAAAAAUGGAACGGAAUUUGGGAAAGAAUAAAACAGAUAUCAUAGGGCCCUAUGCAGCAUAUUGAUAUAAAAAUACACAGAGAGAAAGAGAUUACAUUUCAAAAAAUGUACCUGCGUGUCAUGUGACCAUGUGAAUAAUGUGCAAUCCAGCGUUGGUUACUUUUUAAAGUAAUGCAUUACAGUAUUGUGUUACUCAGUUACUUUUCUGGAAAGUAAUUACGUUACUUUAGCGUUACUUUUUGUCACCUGAGCUGGGCUUGCUUAUUUGUUUUUUAAUAACAAAAAACCCCCAAAUCAUUAAUUUUUUGGCAACUGUAAAGGCCCUUUCACACCAAAAGUGAAAUGAAUAAUCCUCGGGCUGAAGGAAGAGCCUCUGCACUUACUCCCGAUUUCUCUCAACAUGGGAGCAGGAGAGCUGUCAGUCAAUAAAUGAGAAAACAAAGUACCUUAAAAAAUUAACUCAGAUAUUUUAUUGAAAAUGUAAAAGUGUCACAAUCUCUAGCUGGAGUGCUCGUGAGCUUCACUAGAGGGCACUCCAUUCCCAUAAUCCUUUGCCCGGAAUCAUCAGCGCUCACCAAUUGCAGUCACCUGUCUCUCAUCACAGUCACACACACUAUAAGAAUGACACACACACACACACUCUUACACCACUGAUGAUUGAUAGCCUGUAAUGUUUCCGAGUUUCCUUGCCUUCGUGUUUUUGAUCUUGGACUGUUUUCUUGUGUUUGAUUGUUUGCUGCCUGCCCUGAGCAUCGCCUGUUUAUUGGAUUACUCUUUUGGAUUUGCCUUGGAUAUUACUGUUUUGCUGGUGUUUGACCCUGACUACAAUCUUAAUAAAGCUGCAUCCUCCACUUCGUUGUCACGACGCCUUCUACAUCACAAAAAGAGACACAGGAUGAAUCUCGAAGCUUCUGAAGCCCUGACUGACAUCUAAAACAGACACACAUCAGUCUUCACCUGGAAGUGAGGGCUGGACACACACUUGGCCAGCUGACGGAAGAGCGGCUCCAUGACCUUCACGAACUCGGACGGCUCGAUCACGUCCAGGAUCUCCUCCAGCUCGUUGAGGAACAUCACCUCCUUCGGACUGAACUGAACCACACAAUACGCCAGCUGGAGCGAGACGAGACACGGUUAGCGACACUAAACCAGCGCUCGUCAGUGUGAGUUAACGGCGGUUAGCAUGCGACUGACCUGCGGGUGAUAGACGCUCAGAGACUUCACCUUGUGCAGCGGCAGUAAAACCUUCAGCAGGAAGAUCUUGUGCUCCUCUUUUAAUGGCAAAGCAAAGCCGUUGAUGAUGCUGUCGGACAGAAGAAACACAGCUAUCAGAAAUCAGAAGAUUUCCCAGCAUGCACAGGGACCGUUGAUGCUUUACCUUCCCAGGAUCUCCAGUAAUUCAGCGAUUCCGUUGUGAUGCUCCGUCUCAUAAAUAAACCUGCAAACACACACAAAAUGACAUUUACAUAUAAACCUGCUAAAUUCCUAAACACUGAAGCCUUUUUCCAGCUACACUGCAAAAAAUGAUCUUUUUAGUAUUUUUGUCUUGUUUUCUAGUAUAAAUAUCUACACAUUCUGGAAUUAAGAUGCGUUUACUU
Onychostoma macrolepis is the source of this 3300-nucleotide long non-coding RNA. RefSeq lists it as uncharacterized. NCBI's taxonomy places the organism in Eukaryota, Metazoa, Chordata, Actinopteri, Cypriniformes, Cyprinidae. The transcript has 3 exons. The record is from RefSeq and is a predicted model, not a curated record.